UCCCCCUUCUUCCAUCCCCCGGGUCUGGAGGGGUCCCUACAGAUCUUAAAAUGACCACACCGCGCCCUCCACCCCAGAUUAACCUUUAAAGACUCAUGUGGCCUGAGGAAGAAGUCCAGAAGAGAAGAAAGAGGAGACAGGGAUGGCUCUUUCUCAAGGAAGGUUGACAUUCAGGGACGUGGCCAUCGAAUUCUCUCAGGAGGAGUGGAAAUGCCUGGACCCUGCUCAGAGGGCUUUGUACAGGGACGUGAUGUUGGAGAACUACAGGAACCUGGUCUCCCUGGCAGGAAUCUCUCUUUCUGAAAUGAGUAUUACCUCCAUGUUGGGGCAAGGGAAAGAGCCCUGGACUGUGGAGAGUGAAGUGAAAAUAACAAAAACAUCAAGUGGUUGGGAAUGCAUCAAAGGUGUGAACACAGAUGGAGUCUUGCACUGUCGCCCAGGUUGGAGUGCAUUGGCCCGAUCUUGGCUCACCACAACCUCCGCCUCCUGGAUUCCAGCAAUUCUGCCUCAGCCUCCCAAGUAGCUGGGACUACAGGCGCGUGCCACCACACCCGGUUAAUUUUUUGUAUUUUUUAGUAGAUACGGGGUUUCACCAUAUCGGCCAGGCUGGUCUCGAACUCCUGACCUCGUGAUCUGCCUGCCUCAGCCUCCCAAAGUGCUGGGAUUACAGGCUUGAGCUCCUGCGCCCAGCCCAUGCUAAGUCUUUUACCCAGUGGUCAAAACUGGCACAACACAGGAUUUAUACUGGAGAGCAACCUCACAAAUGUAAUGAAAGUGGUAAGGCUUUUUAUCAAAUGUCCUUGUCUUUGGGGUCAUGAGAAAAUUCAUACAGAAUCUAUUAAAAAUGUACUAAACAUGGAAAGACCUUUAAGCAACAGUGAUGUGAUGAAGGUGGUAGUUUUUUAAAUGAACUCCCAUAAGAGUCUACACACCAUAGAACUCAUACCAGGAAUCACAAAGUCUCUAAAUUUCCAAAGUUAACUGGAAAUAUUACAAACUGCAGAAUAAUUCCAGGCCAAAAUAUGUUAAAUUCAUAACAUGAUGUAUAUCAAAGGAAAAAAGGACAUGUGGAAAUGACACAUUAUCUUCAGUGUAUAAAAUAUUCAUUUAUGUGAAGUUUCUUGGAAAGGCUACACUACUAUUACUGGUUUCCGUCUGAUGUUUGAGAUCUGUUGAUUUUAUGCUUUUCUUACAGGCCUUUCAUUAUGAUCUUUGGGAAGGAAUCAAUAAAAUGAUAGGGCCUACUUCAUUAGGUGUGGUUCAUUCCUAUUCAUGCUCCCUGGAAGAACAAGAAUGCUGAAUUUUGAAAUUUAAUAUUGUAUGAAUUAGCAUCAGGGAGAGGUGGAGAAAAAUACAAAACUAAAAGUCAUGCUUAUUGUGUUCAGUGUGCCCUUCUCCAGAGGGCCACUGGCUUAUAGGAAAGGAUUGCUGCUCUACCAGUUGACCAGGAGAUGGCACGCCAGGACAUUAAGACACUGGAGUUUUGUUUCGUUUUUUUUUUUUUUUUGAGAUGGAGUCUCGCUCUCUUGACAGGCAGGAGUACAGUGGUGCGAUCUCGGCUCACUGCAAACUCCGCCUCCCGGGUUCAAGUGAUUCUCCUGCCUCAGCCUCCCGAGUAGCUGGGACUACAGGCGUGUGCCACCACCCCCAGCUAACUUUUGUAUUUUUAGUAGAGACAGGGUUUCACCAUGUUAGCCAGGAUGGUCUCAAUCUCUUGACCUCAUGAUCCGCCCGCCUCCGCCUUCCAAAGUGCUGGGAUUACAGGCGUGAGCCAGUGUGCCCGGCCGACACUGGGCUUUUUAUGAGAGUGACAGAUUACUAGGACCUCAUUAUGUGGUAGAAGUAAUGUAGGGGAAAUGGCGAUUAUCUUUUUUUAAAAGCAAUAGCUGUUGUAUAUCAAUGAUAAAUGAAAAAUUAGUUAUUCUUGUAAAUUGAAGAAAGAAUGGUUAUCAUAGAGGGUAGUUCAAGUAAAAGAACCAGGGCUGGGUGUGGUGGCUCACGUUCUGUAAUCCCUGUACUUUGGGAGGCCAAGGCAGAUGGAUCUCUUGAGGCCAGGAGUUCGAGACCAGCCUGACCAACAUGGCAAAACCGUGUCUCUACAAAAAAUACAAAAAUUAGCCGGACAUCGUGGUAGAUGCCUGUAAUCUCAGAUAUUCAGGAGACCGAGGGGAAAAUCACUUGAACCCGGGAGACGGAGGUUGCAGUGAGCUGAGAUCGCACCACUGCUCGCCAGCCUGGGCAACAGAGUGAGACUCUGCCUCAAAAAAAAACCAAACCAAACCAAAGAACCAGAAUAGCAUGUGCACAUAUACACAGACGUUUCACAACUGGCAUUAUGUUU
RNAcentral lists this long non-coding RNA (2341 nucleotides) under Homo sapiens (human). RNAcentral describes it as "LHRI_LNC392.5". The record is from RNAcentral. Lineage: Eukaryota; Metazoa; Chordata; Mammalia; Primates; Hominidae.